GUGUUCAUUUGGGCAGCACAUAUACUAAAAUUGGAACGAUACAGAGAUUAGCAUGGCACCUGUGCAAGGAUGACAUGCAAAUUCGGGAAGCAUUCCAUAUUUUU
RNAcentral lists this small nuclear RNA (104 nucleotides) under Bos indicus (zebu cattle). RNAcentral also lists the same sequence under 1 other name. The record is from RNAcentral. Lineage: Eukaryota; Metazoa; Chordata; Mammalia; Artiodactyla; Bovidae.